CCUCCUCCCUAGAGACAUUGCAGGUAUGUUUGUCAUAUAACAUGUGCUUUAGUAGGUGGCAGAGAGGAGAGAGACAAUGUUCAGUGUUCUGACCUGUGAUCUUUGGAAUGAUUAGUAGCCUAACCUU
Small nucleolar RNA from Acomys russatus (golden spiny mouse), 127 nucleotides. RefSeq annotates it as small nucleolar RNA SNORA17. NCBI's taxonomy places the organism in Eukaryota, Metazoa, Chordata, Mammalia, Rodentia, Muridae. The record is from RefSeq and is a predicted model, not a curated record. The transcript has a single exon.